GAGUUUGAUCUUGGCUCAGAUCGAACGCUGGCGGCAUGCCUUACACAUGCAAGUCGAACGGCAGCACGGGAGCUUGCUCCUGGUGGCGAGUGGCGAACGGGUGAGUAAUGCAUCGGAACGUAUCCUGGAGUGGGGGAUAACGUAGCGAAAGUUACGCUAAUACCGCAUAUUCUGUGAGCAGGAAAGCGGGGGACCUUCGGGCCUCGCGCUCUUGGAGCGGCCGAUGUCGGAUUAGCUAGUUGGUGAGGUAAAGGCUCACCAAGGCGACGAUCCGUAGCAGGCCUGAGAGGAUGAUCUGCCACACUGGAACUGAGACACGGUCCAGACUCCUACGGGAGGCAGCGGUGGGGAAUUUUGGACAAUGGGGGCAACCCUGAUCCAGCCAUGCCGCGUGAGUGAAGAA
RNAcentral lists this ribosomal RNA (403 nucleotides) under bacterium enrichment culture clone ALO1_GLFRUDD03FUNCD. RNAcentral describes it as "bacterial SSU rRNA". It matches the Rfam family "Bacterial small subunit ribosomal RNA", at positions 9 to 412 of the family's 1533-position model. The record is from RNAcentral.